RNAcentral lists this ribosomal RNA (1188 nucleotides) under Bacteroides uniformis. Its description in RNAcentral is "bacterial SSU rRNA". It matches the Rfam family "Bacterial small subunit ribosomal RNA", at positions 182 to 1377 of the family's 1533-position model. The record is from RNAcentral. Lineage: Bacteria; Pseudomonadati; Bacteroidota; Bacteroidia; Bacteroidales; Bacteroidaceae.
UCUUCCGCAUGGUAGAACUAUUAAAGAAUUUCGGUCAUCGAUGGGGAUGCGUUCCAUUAGGUUGUUGGCGGGGUAACGGCCCACCAAGCCUUCGAUGGAUAGGGGUUCUGAGAGGAAGGUCCCCCACAUUGAACUGAGACACGGUCCAAACUCCUACGGGAGGCAGCAGUGAGGAAUAUUGGUCAAUGGACGAGAGUCUGAACCAGCCAAGUAGCGUGAAGGAUGACUGCCCUAUGGGUUGUAAACUUCUUUUAUACGGGAAUAAAGUGAGGCACGUGUGCCUUUUUGUAUGUACCGUAUGAAUAAGGAUCGGCUAACUCCGUGCCAGCAGCCGCGGUAAUACGGAGGAUCCGAGCGUUAUCCGGAUUUAUUGGGUUUAAAGGGAGCGUAGGCGGACGCUUAAGUCAGUUGUGAAAGUUUGCGGCUCAACCGUAAAAUUGCAGUUGAUACUGGGUGUCUUGAGUACAGUAGAGGCAGGCGGAAUUCGUGGUGUAGCGGUGAAAUGCUUAGAUAUCACGAAGAACUCCGAUUGCGAAGGCAGCCUGCUGGACUGUAACUGACGCUGAUGCUCGAAAGUGUGGGUAUCAAACAGGAUUAGAUACCCUGGUAGUCCACACAGUAAACGAUGAAUACUCGCUGUUUGCGAUAUACAGUAAGCGGCCAAGCGAAAGCGUUAAGUAUUCCACCUGGGGAGUACGCCGGCAACGGUGAAACUCAAAGGAAUUGACGGGGGCCCGCACAAGCGGAGGAACAUGUGGUUUAAUUCGAUGAUACGCGAGGAACCUUACCCGGGCUUGAAUUGCAACUGAAUGAUGUGGAGACAUGUCAGCCGCAAGGCAGUUGUGAAGGUGCUGCAUGGUUGUCGUCAGCUCGUGCCGUGAGGUGUCGGCUUAAGUGCCAUAACGAGCGCAACCCUUAUCGAUAGUUACCAUCAGGUUAUGCUGGGGACUCUGUCGAGACUGCCGUCGUAAGAUGUGAGGAAGGUGGGGAUGACGUCAAAUCAGCACGGCCCUUACGUCCGGGGCUACACACGUGUUACAAUGGGGGGUACAGAAGGCAGCUACACGGCGACGUGAUGCUAAUCCCGAAAGCCUCUCUCAGUUCGGAUUGGAGUCUGCAACCCGACUCCAUGAAGCUGGAUUCGCUAGUAAUCGCGCAUCAGCCACGGCGCGGUGAAUACGUUCCCGG